This 564-nucleotide ribosomal RNA is filed under the name Thielaviopsis paradoxa. RNAcentral describes it as "LSU rRNA". It matches the Rfam family "Eukaryotic large subunit ribosomal RNA", at positions 62 to 648 of the family's 3401-position model. Lineage: Eukaryota; Fungi; Ascomycota; Sordariomycetes; Microascales; Ceratocystidaceae. The record is from RNAcentral.
AAACCAACAGGGAUUGCCCUAGUAACGGCGAGUGAAGCGGCAACAGCUCAAAUUUGAAAUCUGGCUACUUUGUAGUCCGAGUUGUAAUUUGUAGAGGAUGCUUUUGGUGAGGUGCCUUCCGAGUUCCCUGGAACGGGACGCCAUAGAGGGUGAGAGCCCCGUACGGUUGGAUGCCAAACCUUUGUAUAGCUCCUUCAACGAGUCGAGUAGUUUGGGAAUGCUGCUCUAAAUGGGAGGUAUAUCUCUUCUAAAGCUAAAUAUAGGCUAGAGACCGAUAGCGCACAAGUAGAGUGAUCGAAAGAUGAAAAGCACUUUGAAAAGAGAGUUAAACAGCACGUGAAAUUGUUGAAAGGGAAGCGCCUAUGACCAGACUUGUCUCUAUCAGUUUUGCUAGUUUUCGGACUGGUUUACUCUGUUAGUACAGGCCAGCAUCAGUUUGUUGUUAGGGAGAAAGGCUUUGGGAAUGUGGCUCCUCCGGGAGUGUUAUAGCCCUUUGCAUAAUACCUUUCGGCAGACUGAGGACCGCGCUUCGGCAAGGAUGCUGGCGUAAUGGUCAUCAGCGAC